CCUACGGGAGGCAGCAGUGAGGAAUAUUGGUCAAUGGGCGGGAGCCUGAACCAGCCAAGUCGCGUGAGGGAAGACGGUCCUAUGGAUUGUAAACCUCUUUAGGCGGGGAGCAAUGCCGGGCACGCGUGCCCGGAGGGAGAGUACCCGCAGAAUAAGCAUCGGCUAACUCCGUGCCAGCAGCCGCGGUAAUACGGAGGAUGCGAGCGUGCUCCGGAUUUAUGGGGUUUAAAGGGUGCGUAGGCGGAUUUUUAAGUCAGCGGUAAAAUGUCCGGGCUCAACCCGGGCCGGCCGUUGAAACUGGGGAUCUUGAGUGGGCGAGAAGUAUGCGGAAUGCGUGGUGUAGCGGUGAAAUGCAUAGAUAUCACGCAGAACUCCGAUUGCGAAGGCAGCAUACCGGCGCCCGACUGACGCUGAGGCACGAAAGCGUGGGGAUCGAACAGGAUUAGAUACCCUGGUAGUC
Molecule: ribosomal RNA, 460 nt
Filed under: uncultured bacterium
Lineage: Bacteria
Description: partial 16S ribosomal RNA
Rfam family: Bacterial small subunit ribosomal RNA
Source: RNAcentral